UACAUACUGUGCGAACGUUAUUCGGAUUCACUGGGCUUAAAGGGUGCGUAGGCGGCUUGUUAAGUAGGAUGUGAAAGCCCCCAGCUCAACUGGGGAACUGCAUUCUAUACUGGCGAGCUGGAGUGAGAUAGGGGUGUGUGGAACUGCCAGUGGAGCGGUGAAAUGUGUUGAUAUUGGCAGGAACGCCGGUGGCGAAAGCGACACACUGGGUCUCAACUGACGCUGAGGCACGAAAGCCAGGGGAGCGAACGGG
This 253-nucleotide ribosomal RNA is filed under the name uncultured bacterium. RNAcentral's name for it is "partial 16S ribosomal RNA". It matches the Rfam family "Bacterial small subunit ribosomal RNA", at positions 524 to 776 of the family's 1533-position model. The record is from RNAcentral.